RNAcentral lists this unclassified non-coding RNA (504 nucleotides) under uncultured Entrophospora. Its description in RNAcentral is "SSU rRNA". It matches the Rfam family "Eukaryotic small subunit ribosomal RNA", at positions 591 to 1092 of the family's 1831-position model. The record is from RNAcentral. Lineage: Eukaryota; Fungi; Glomeromycota; Glomeromycetes; Entrophosporales; Entrophosporaceae.
CCAAUAGCGUAUAUUAAAGUUGUUGCAGUUAAAAAGCUCGUAGUUGAAUUUCGGGAUUGACGUGACGGUCAUGCCUUAAGGGGUAUGAACUGUUACUGUUGAUUUCUCACCUUCUGGAGAAACUUGAUGUCCUUUAUUGGGUGUCUUGCGGAUCCAGGACCUUUACCUUGAAAAAAUUAGAGUGUUUAAAGCAGGCAUUUUUGCUCGAAUACAUUAGCAUGGAAUAAUAGAAUAGGACGGCAUGGUUCUAUUUUGUUGGUUUCUAGGAUCACCGUAAUGAUUAAUAGGGAUAGUUGGGGGCAUUAGUAUUCAAUUGUCAGAGGUGAAAUUCUUGGAUUUAUUGAAGACUAACUACUGCGAAAGCAUUUGCCAAGGAUGUUUUCAUUAAUCAAGAACGAAAGUUAGAGGUUCGAAGGCGAUCAGAUACCGCCCUAGUUCUAACCAUAAACGAUGCCAACCGGCGAUCCGUCGUCGUUAAUUGAAUGACUCGACGGGCAGCCUCCG